AGUGAACGCUGGCGGUAGGCCUAACACAUGCAAGUCGAACGGCAGCACAGUAAGAGCUUGCUCUUACGGGUGGCGAGUGGCGGACGGGUGAGGAAUACAUCGGAAUCUACUUUUUCGUGGGGGAUAACGUAGGGAAACUUACGCUAAUACCGCAUACGACCUACGGGUGAAAGCAGGGGAUCUUCGGACCUUUCGCGAUUGAAUGAGCCGAUGUCGGAUUAGCUAGUUGGCAGGGUAAAGGCCCACCAAGGCGACGAUCCGUAGCUGGUCUGAGAGGAUGAUCAGCCACACUGGAACUGAGACACGGUCCAGACUCCUACGGGAGGCAGCAGUGGGGAAUAUUGCACAAUGGGCGCAAGCCUGACCGAGCCAUACCGCGUGAGUGAAGAAGGUCUUCGGGUCGUAAAGCCCUUUUAUUGGGAAAGAAAAGCAGUAUGUGUAUCCCUGGAUGUUCUGACGGUACCCAAAGAAAAAGCACCGGCUAACUUCGUG
RNAcentral lists this ribosomal RNA (492 nucleotides) under uncultured bacterium. Its description in RNAcentral is "partial 16S ribosomal RNA". It matches the Rfam family "Bacterial small subunit ribosomal RNA", at positions 29 to 507 of the family's 1533-position model. The record is from RNAcentral.